RNAcentral lists this ribosomal RNA (352 nucleotides) under uncultured eukaryote. RNAcentral describes it as "partial 18S ribosomal RNA". It matches the Rfam family "Eukaryotic small subunit ribosomal RNA", at positions 591 to 976 of the family's 1831-position model. The record is from RNAcentral.
CCAAGAGUGUAUACUAAUGUUGCUGCAGUUAAAGCGUCCGUAGUAGAUGUGUGAAAUCUCGUUCGCCUGUACUCAGUCUCGUACUAGUAUUACGGCUUGAGAUCAAAUAUGUAAUUGGGUCAUUUGUCCCUUUACUAUUACUUUGAAAAAAUUGGAGAGUUCUAAUCAUUCGUUUGUAUGGCAGGCCAGCAUGGAAUAUGAAAUACAGUCAACUUCCUCAGCAAUGGAGUCGUUGUUCGGAAUUAAACCAAGGACAUUCGGGGGCAUUGGUAUUUAUUGGAGAGAGGUGAAAUUCUGAGACCCUGUAAAGACCCACAAGUGCUAAAGCAUUUGCCUAGGAUGUACUUUUUUA